UGGGGAAUAUUGCACAAUGGGGGAAACCCUGAUGCAGCGACGCCGCGUGAACGAAGAAGGUAUUCGUAUCGUAAAGUUCUGUCCUAUGGGAAGAUAAUGACAGUACCAUAGAAGAAAGCUCCGGCUAAAUACGUGCCAGCAGCCGCGGUAAUACGUAUGGAGCGAGCGUUGUCCGGAAUUAUUGGGCGUAAAGGGUACGCAGGCGGUUUAAUAAGUCGAAUGUUAAAGAUCGGGGCUCAACCCCGCAAAGCAUUGGAAACUGAUAAACUUGAGUAGUGGAGAUGAAAGUGGAAUUCCUAGUAUAGUGGUGAAAUACGUAGAUAUUAGGAGGAAUACCAGUAGCGAAGGCGACUUUCUGGACACAAACUGACGCUGAGGUACGAAAGCGUGGGGAGCAAACAGG
This 403-nucleotide ribosomal RNA is filed under the name bacterium. RNAcentral's name for it is "partial 16S ribosomal RNA". It matches the Rfam family "Bacterial small subunit ribosomal RNA", at positions 355 to 776 of the family's 1533-position model. The record is from RNAcentral.